Molecule: long non-coding RNA, 2504 nt
Organism: Manis pentadactyla (Chinese pangolin)
Lineage: Eukaryota; Metazoa; Chordata; Mammalia; Pholidota; Manidae
Exons: 4
Source: RefSeq, a predicted model, not a curated record
UGAUGGAAUGAGAGAAAGUUCACUUUUAAUUUCAUUUUGGCCUGGGGGGUGGGGGUGGUUGGUGGUGGGACGGGGAGCUCCAGUGCUGGGCUAAGUGCUGGGCAAGAUGGGCAGAGAAACACAAUCUGGUUCUGUGAGAAGUUCAUGAGAAUUUGUAGGUUCAGCCUUGCUUUUGCGGGGCACUUUCAUCACGCUUUUGGAUUAGCCCGUUUUUUAAAUAAUUGAAUUUGUACUGCAAAGGGCAGGGAGACUGACACUGUCCCAGGAGACUCAGGCUCCCUGAUUUUGGAGACCUUUUCAGCCCCCGCAGGACCAGGAGCUGAAUCUCCUCCUUAGGUUGGCUGUUCUCCAGCCUGGGGACCGAGAGAGUUGCCUCCGACCUCGGAGCGUCUCCGCACCUGCACCCGGUGCCUUCCCUAGCAUUCCAGGCGCCCGGAGGCUCAACACCCGCCGCAAAGGAACAAUUGGCGCGAACUAGGCCAGGACAGGUUGGGGGGCGAGGUGCUGCCUCAGGAAGAGGUGAUCCGAGUCGUUGAGAGCAGGCGGUCACGUGAACGAGCGGAGCGAGCGAGCGAGCGAGCGAGAGCGCGCCGAAAGCCAGCGCGAAAGAAAGCCCACAGACAGAACUACCUACAAAGAGCCCAGGAGGGAGGCCUGCGGGGACUGCGAGCGAAAGGAGGAGCGGGAGGGCGGAGGGCAGGGCGGACUGGCCCUCCGCCUCUUUUUCCCUUUCCUCCUCUGCCUCAACAUUAUGGUCUCACACUUAUGGAGCCCAGUGACCGUAGGGGACCCGGAGACCCUGUGCUUCCGCCGAAGGAGCCUUGAUUAUCCCGGGGUUUGCCGCUGGCAGCUAGGUUGCCGCUUCCCCACUUCUGAAACGACAGAAUCAGCUGUAAUCGGUCCGAUUCUUCUGCUAGGCCCUCAUUGGUGCUGAUUACUGGGAAUUGGUUAUAAUUUUCUCAAGUGCUACCGGUUCAGUGAAAACUUCCCUCAACUCACCUUUUCCAUUGGGGAAGUGCAGAGCAGGAGGAAAUGAAGUCAUCCUGUCCCCUGUCCCCCUGCCCUACAGGUGGCCACCCACUUGAGGAAGAAGCUGAAGAUGCCCUUGGUCACACAACUAGGAAGUAGGGGGUGGAGCUGAGAUUUGGUCGCAGCUCCAUCUGGCUCCAGAGUGGAAACUUCAGUUUAUCCACUAUGCUCCCUGGUGCUCAGUGGCAAACAAUAAGACCAUUAGCAACCUAGAAGAAAAUGGGUGAAUAUUCCCCUGGUCUUGAAUGGAUGGGAAGUCUUUCUAGGCAUAAAGGUAAACAAAGAAACAAUGAAGGACAAAAACGUAUAUUUGGCUAUGUAAAAAUGUAAAACUUACAUAUUUUAAACCCCUUUACCCAUUUCUUCUAGCCUCAUCCCCUACCUAUGGCAACCACCAAUCUGUUCUUUGUAUCUAUGAGCUUGUUUUGUUCUGCUUUACUUCUAGAUUCUACAUAUAUAAGACGGAUCAUAUGGUAUUUGUCUUUCUCUGUUUGACUUGAAAAAAAAAAACUUCUGUAUUUAAAAAAUGAUAACACCACAAGCAAAAUAGAAGGCCUGUCAGUAGGGAGUCUUUGCAAUAUACGACAAAGUUUUCAUAUCUUUGAUACAAAAAGAAGUAUUACAAGUCCACAAGAAAAAAGAUAAACAUUUCAUUAGAAAACUAGGCAGAGGCCAUGAAUUGGCAGUUCACAAAACAAGAAAUACUAAAGGUCAAUAAACUAGGAAAAAUAUUCACUAUUACUAAAGAAGUGCAAAUUCAAAUAUUGAGAUACUGACAAUUUUUCACCCAUCAGGUUGGCAAAUAUGUAUGUGUAUGUUUUUAUUUAUUUUAAUAACAUUUAUUUAUUUAAAUACACUGCCAGCAAAAGUUUAUGGAAGCACAUUUUAAAAAUCAGCUUUAUUGAGGGAUAAUUUGGCUACAAGUAGCCUUAUCCAUCUAAAUUGUAGAAUGAAUGAGCUUUCACAUACAUAUCCACCCAUGAAACCACUGCCACAGUCAAGAUAUACUGCAUAUCCAUCACCCCCAAAAUUUUGCUCAUAUGCCUUUAUAGUCCAUCUCUUCCUCCACCUCUGCCUACAGGCAACUAUUGAUCUGCUUUCUGUCACAAUAACUUUGUUUGUAUUUUCUAGACUUCUAUAUAGUGGGGUUAUAUAGUAUAUAGUAUUUUGGUCUGGUUUCCCUCACUCAGCAUGUUUUUGAGUUUCAUCCAUUUUGUUGCUUGCAUCAGUAGUUUGUUCCUUUGCAUCACUGAGUGGUAUUCCCUUGUAAUAAAUACCCCCUUUUUUUCUAUUCAUUCACCUGGUGAUGGUCACUUGGGUUGUUCCCAGUUUGUGGUGCAUGGGCUAUUGUGAAUAUUCUGGUACAAAUGUAAACUUGUAGUCUUUUAAUAGGGCAAUUUUGUAUUGUGUGUCAAAAUAUUAAAAACACACAUACCAAAAUUACUUGAUGCCCAGGGUUUGCUUCACAAGUAAUC